Long non-coding RNA from Fukomys damarensis (Damara mole-rat), 426 nucleotides. RefSeq lists it as uncharacterized. The transcript has 3 exons. NCBI's taxonomy places the organism in Eukaryota, Metazoa, Chordata, Mammalia, Rodentia, Bathyergidae. The record is from RefSeq and is a predicted model, not a curated record.
ACUGAGCGUCCGGCGCACAACUCUCCGCCCUCCGUCCCGGUCGCUCGAAGGUCACCCCGAGAGUCGCAAAUCGGCCAGCGGCCGAGGCAGCGAGCACUCACACUUUUCCAACUCGGACUUGUCACCCAGCAACCGAAACUCAGCCACAGGAGCCAACUGGCCUCAUCGUCCCGAGAGAGGCAGGACUAGGAGAGGGCUAAGAUAAGGAUGCUACUCAAGGCCACUUAGGGGUCUGUAGUCCUGCAGUCAUAACUGGAAUGUAAACAUCUAUAACCUCACUCUGACACCAAAAAAAAGCUUACUGGGGAAAAUCCAAGAAGAUAUUAGGCUGUUACAGAAAUACACCAAACCAACCUGAGAAGAACCACACACAGCAAUCCUGUCCACCCCAACAGCCAUCAAGGUGACAGGGACCGUGUCCUAGAU